AUGCAGGACGUGGGGAGGAGAUGGAGUCACCUGCAGCUUGUUUGGCCCUCCCGAGGAGCUUUAAGGACCUGCAGUGCAGAGGGCUCCUGCCUUUGGGAGAAGGUGCUGAAAAAAUCCCUCGAGGCCCUGAAUUGCAACAUAAUCCAGCUCCAAAUCCCACCUGGAAUCCGUCAGGAGGGACGAGCCCUGACAUUCCCCCGCCGAUGCCUUCAAAGCCCUCUGAUCUUCGCCGUGGAAACGACACCAUCAGAUAAGGCUCGGCCCCUGCCAAGAGACACACAACAUCUGCAAGGCUGCAGAAAGGGGGAUUAGGGAAAAGUUAACCUCCUUCCUCAGUUGUGAUUUUUGGGAGGCAACCAACUCCCGAGCUCUCCUUUGCAGGGCGGGUUUGGGGCUUUCACGGUGGUCCCCAGGCCCUGAGGAUGAGAUGUCCUUGGGGAUGAUGGCACCGCUGCACAGAGGGAGCAGGGCCAUAAAAUCUGGGGCUAACCAAGGGUUUGGACUUGUAGUGACGAGAGGAAAUGCCCUCGAGCUGCGCCAGGGGAGAUUCAGGUUGGACAUCAGGAGGAAUUUUCUCACAGAAAACACUGGAAGGGGCUGCCCAGGGAGGUGGUGAUCAGUCAAAACUCAGACUCGAUGGAUCUCAGAGGUCUUUUCCUACCUAAAAGAUUCUGUGAAAACCAGAAACCAGUUUCCAGCCCCUUUCCUCCACUUGAAAUGUUUCUCCCUAAAAGCAAUCCCCAAGAACCUGCUCGUUUCCACAAAAGCUCCUGGCGCUCCCUGGGUGACCCGGCCUUGGCAGCAGCUCUGCUCGGGCAGGUGAAGGGUUAACGCUGCUCUUUGGGAGCCUUGAACUCCAAAACCCCGCGGGUCCUGCCGGAGCUCGUUACCCCGAGAGCGGCGAGAGGAGCCCCGGCGCUGAUUGCGGUGGCGACCUCCGGGGCUGUGAGGAAUCAGCAGCGGCACCGGGAGGAGGUGCCGAGCUCACCCCGAAAACCCUGAGCCCUGCCAGCCUCCCGAGCUGCUCCGGAGUGAUUUCCAUCCCCGUCCGGAGCAGC
This 1058-nucleotide long non-coding RNA is filed under the name Parus major (Great Tit). RNAcentral's name for it is "lncRNA (ENSPMJG00000013070.1)". The record is from RNAcentral. Lineage: Eukaryota; Metazoa; Chordata; Aves; Passeriformes; Paridae.